UUCCGGUUGAUCCUGCCGGACCCUACUGCUAUCGGGGGAGGACUAAAACAUGCAAGUCGUGCGUCUCCUAGCUAUGUUGGAGACGCGGCGUAUGGCUCAGUAACACGUGGCUAACCCACCCUUGAGACGGAGAAAUCCCCGGGAAACUGGGGUUAAUCCCCGAUAGGAGAAGACACCUGGAAGGGGUCUUUUCUCAAAAGGCGCUUAGAUCAUGCUUCUAGACGUCGCUCAAGGACGGGGCCGCGGCCGAUCAGGUUGUUGGUGAGGUAAUGGCUCACCAAGCCUAUAACCGGUACGGGCCGUGAGAGCGGGAGCCCGGAGAUGGGCACUUAGACAAGGGCCCAGGCCCUACGGGGCGCAGCAGUUGCGAAAACUCCGCAAUGCACGAAAGUGUGACGGGGCUACCCCGAGUGCCGUCCGCUGAGGGCGGCUUUUCCCCGGUGUAAGGAGCCGGGGGAAUAAGGAGAGGGCAAGUCUGGUGUCAGCCGCCGCGGUAAUACCAGCUCUCCGAGUGGUAGGGAUGAUUAUUGGGCUUAAAGCGUCCGUAGCCGGCCUAGCAAGUCCUCCGUUAAAUCCACCGAUUCAAUCGUUGGACUGCGGGAGAUACUGUUGGGCUAGGGGGCGGGAGAGGCCGACGGUAUUCUCGGGGUAGGGGUAAAAUCCUAUAAUCCCGGGAGGACCACCAGUGGCGAAGGCGGUCGGCUAGAACGCGCUCGACGGUGAGGGACGAAAGCUGGGGGAGCGAACCGGAUUAGAUACCCGGGUAGUCCCAGCUGUAAACGAUGCGGGCUAGGUGUUGGGGCGGCUACGGGCCGCUUCAGUGCCGCAGGGAAACCAUUAAGUCCGCCGCCUGGGGAGUACGGCCCGCAGGCUGAACUUAAAGGGAAUUGGCCGGGGGAGCAUCAACAAGGCGUGAAGCUUGCCGGUUUAAUUGGAGUCACGCCUGA
RNAcentral lists this ribosomal RNA (947 nucleotides) under uncultured archaeon. RNAcentral describes it as "bacterial SSU rRNA". It matches the Rfam family "Archaeal small subunit ribosomal RNA", at positions 1 to 922 of the family's 1478-position model. The record is from RNAcentral.